Non-coding RNA from Leptonychotes weddellii (Weddell seal), 955 nucleotides. The record is from RefSeq and is a predicted model, not a curated record. NCBI's taxonomy places the organism in Eukaryota, Metazoa, Chordata, Mammalia, Carnivora, Phocidae.
UGAGAUCACAACCUGAGCCGAAGGCAGACGCUUAACAACUGAGCCACCCAGGCGCCCCAAAGUAUAUGCUUUGAUAAGUUUUGAUCUAUUGCACUAUAAUGAAUUCCUGGGAUCUUGAGUUGGGGAGAGAAGAGGAAGAAGCAUAUAUGAAUGUGGGAGAACAUCAGAGAAAGGUGUGGACUGUGAGCCCUCCAAAUAGGAGCUGAUAGAGAAGAACCAAGUAUGAUGUCCAGUGUCCUAGACAGUUUCCUGGAGCAAUAAUGAAGACAUUGGAUUCCCAUCAUUGGCAAAUGUUAGCUGGAAUUCUUCUAUAAGAGGAACUUACCCUUCAUCAACAAUUACACUAUGCUGAGGUACGGUUUGCACAGGAAGGGAAGGAGGAAUGUUUAAUUCCUUUGCAAUAUUUCCACCUUUCAAAAUAAUGAGUUUCCCUAGGAUUCUUCAAAGGUAAAACGUGGCAUGUUCUACACAAGUAAAGUCCAAUAGAAAUUUCUGUGGAAAUGAAAAAAUAUUCUGUGUCUACAUUUUCCAGUAAAGUAGCCGUUAGAUACCUUUUGAACACCUGAAACCUGCUGGCCCCAUUGAUCUCCAGAAAGGAAACUACAGAAUAAGAGAGUAUGAAGAUGGGUCUGCAACACAACUGACUGGGAACAGGAGACCUGCAUCCAAAAUAUCAGUUAAAUUCUUGCCUACAGGACCAUCGGUAGUCACUUCCUCUUUGCCGACCUCAGCCCUGACACAGAAAAAGAUUAUAUGUCCCAAUGGAUAGGGACAUGGGCUUUGUGGAGUGUGAUGUAAGCUUGGGCAUGUUUAAUUGCUGGUUUCAUGAUCUUCAUAAAGCAAAUUAUGAGUCUUCAUAUCUAGGAAACCCACAUGUGAUGUAUAUACAUUAUAUAUGCAUGCAUAGAGAAUAUAAUGGGAGGAAAUGAACAAAUGUGACAAUAUCUUUUUUUAG